UCCGGCUUAUCACCGGCAGUCCCAUUAGAGUGCCCAACUAAAUGAUGGCAACUAAUGGCGAGGGUUGCGCUCGUUGCGGGACUUACCCAACAUCUCACGACACGAGCUGACGACAGCCAUGCAGCACCUGUGCAGGAACUCCGAAGAGGGCGCCUGGUCUCUCAAGCGUUUCUCCUGCAUGUCAAGCCUAGGUAAGGUUCUUCGCGUUGCGUCGAAUUAAACCACAUGCUCCACCGCUUGUGCGGGCCCCCGUCAAUUCCUUUGAGUUUCAGCCUUGCGGCCGUACUCCCCAGGCGGGGCACUUACUGCGUUAGCGACGACACUCAGAAGGUCGCUCCCCCAAGCAUCUAGUGCCCAUCGUUUACGGCGUGGACUAC
This 377-nucleotide unclassified non-coding RNA is filed under the name uncultured Gemmatimonadaceae bacterium. RNAcentral's name for it is "contains 16S-23S intergenic spacer region". The record is from RNAcentral. Lineage: Bacteria; Pseudomonadati; Gemmatimonadota; Gemmatimonadia; Gemmatimonadales; Gemmatimonadaceae.